RNAcentral lists this ribosomal RNA (497 nucleotides) under uncultured bacterium. RNAcentral describes it as "partial 16S ribosomal RNA". It matches the Rfam family "Bacterial small subunit ribosomal RNA", at positions 28 to 507 of the family's 1533-position model. The record is from RNAcentral.
GAUGAACGCUGGCGGCGUGCCUAAUACAUGCAAGUCGAGCGAACAGACGAGGAGCUUGCUCCUCUGACGUUAGCGGCGGACGGGUGAGUAACACGUGGAUAACCUACCUAUAAGACUGGGAUAACUUCGGGAAACCGGAGCUAAUACCGGAUAAUAUAUUGAACCGCAUGGUUCAAUAGUGAAAGACGGUUUUGCUGUCACUUAUAGAUGGAUCCGCGCCGCAUUAGCUAGUUGGUAAGGUAACGGCUUACCAAGGCAACGAUGCGUAGCCGACCUGAGAGGGUGAUCGGCCACACUGGAACUGAGACACGGUCCAGACUCCUACGGGAGGCAGCAGUAGGGAAUCUUCCGCAAUGGGCGAAAGCCUGACGGAGCAACGCCGCGUGAGUGAUGAAGGUCUUCGGAUCGUAAAACUCUGUUAUUAGGGACGAACAAAUGUGUAAGUAACUAUGCACGUCUUGACGGUACCUAAUCAGAAAGCAACGGCUAACUACGUG